AUAACCAGCGAAAGUUGGACUAAUACCUUAUGUAUUCGUUUGAUCUCAUGAGAUUACGAAUAAAGAUUUAUCGGUUAUGGGAUGGGGGAUGCGUCUGAUUAGGCUUGUUGGCGGGUAACGGCUCACCAAGGCAACGAUCAGUAGGGGUUCUGAGAGGAAGGUCCCCCACAUUGGAACUGAGACACGGGUCCAAACUCCUACGGGAGGCAGCAGUGAGGAAUAUUGGUCAAUGGACGCAAGUCUGAACCAGCCAAAGUAGCGUGCAGGAUGACGGCCCUAUGGGUUGUAAACUGCUUUUAUAUGGGGGAUAAAGUGGGGGAACGUGUUCCCUUUGCAGGUACCAUAUGAAUAAAGGACCGGCUAAUUCCGUGCCAGCAGCCGCGGUAAAU
RNAcentral lists this ribosomal RNA (389 nucleotides) under uncultured Prevotella sp. RNAcentral's name for it is "bacterial SSU rRNA". It matches the Rfam family "Bacterial small subunit ribosomal RNA", at positions 143 to 525 of the family's 1533-position model. The record is from RNAcentral. Lineage: Bacteria; Pseudomonadati; Bacteroidota; Bacteroidia; Bacteroidales; Prevotellaceae.